AGUGAACGCUGGCGGUAGGCCUAACACAUGCAAGUCGAACGGCAGCACAGUAAGAGCUUGCUCUUACGGGUGGCGAGUGGCGGACGGGUGAGGAAUACAUCGGAAUCUACUUUUUCGUGGGGGAUAACGUAGGGAAACUUACGCUAAUACCGCAUACGACCUACGGGUGAAAGCAGGGGAUCUUCGGACCUUGCGCGAUUGAAUGAGCCGAUGUCGGAUUAGCUAGUUGGCGGGGUAAAGGCUCACCAAGGCGACGAUCCGUAGCUGGUCUGAGAGGAUGAUCAGCCACACUGGAACUGAGACACGGUCCAGACUCCUACGGGAGGCAGCAGUGGGGAAUAUUGGACAAUGGGCGCAAGCCUGAUCCAGCCAUACCGCGUGGGUGAAGAAGGUCUUCGGGUUGUAAAGCCCUUUUGUUGGGAAAGAAAAGCAGCAUGUGAAUACAUCGAUGUUCUGACGGUACCUAAAGAAUAAGCACCGGCUAACUUCGUG
Molecule: ribosomal RNA, 492 nt
Filed under: uncultured bacterium
Lineage: Bacteria
Description: partial 16S ribosomal RNA
Rfam family: Bacterial small subunit ribosomal RNA
Source: RNAcentral